UACGAAGGGGGCGAGCGUUGUUCGGAUUUACUGGGCGUAAAGGGCGCGUAGGCGGUCGUGACAAGUCACUUGUGAAAUCUCCGGGCUUAACUCGGAACGGUCAAGUGAUACUGUCGGACUAGAGUACAGAAGGGGCAACUGGAAUUCUCGGUGUAGCGGUGAAAUGCGUAGAUAUCGAGAGGAACACCUGCGGCGAAGGCGGCAUCCUGGACCGAGAUUGACGCUGGAUGAGCGAAAGCUAGGGGAGCAAACGGG
RNAcentral lists this ribosomal RNA (255 nucleotides) under uncultured bacterium. Its description in RNAcentral is "partial 16S ribosomal RNA". It matches the Rfam family "Bacterial small subunit ribosomal RNA", at positions 524 to 776 of the family's 1533-position model. The record is from RNAcentral.